GCUUUGUUAGAUAACUUGAAUUCCCUCAUGAAAUGCUACUCUCCUCCCAAUCCUGAUCUGUUGCUCUGAAAAGAAGCCUGCUUUCAGAUUCUUGUGGUGGUUUAAUAAUGUGCCAAAAUGGGUCCACGAUGGAACGAGCUUUUAAGAAAUGCAGGAUAUACACCCUCACCGCUAAAUCAGCUUGUCUACCUGUCACAUUCAGGGCAACUUGGAAACAAUCUACAGCUCAAGGGAUGCUAGGCUUCCUUUUCCAGUCACUACCACUACAUCCUUUUGUGUGGAUCAGCCUGCUGGAAAAUGAGUCAAGAAUAAGAAACGUGGGCCUGGCAUCCUGCUGCAGGGUAUUUCUUGACUUUCCUCCCUUAAUAGGCCAUCACGCAUGCUUUGUUCCUGUUCUCCUCAUGACAUCAUCUUACCAAGAAGCCUAAGUGGUGAAAAAUACUGUGAAAGGGAGCAGUAACUUUAAAAUGUUUCACUUAUUCAUGGAUUUUUUGUUGUUUUUAAGAUCUCAACUUUGGUCAUUCAAUAUAAAAAGAUCAGAAAAUUGCUUUGAGUGCCUGUAUCUGUCUGCUUUGAGCUGAAAAAGCAUCUUGGUCAGGGGAAGAGAAGUCCUGCAGAGAUGAAAAAACCAAAGUGGAUGGCAAGUGGACUAGCUCUGUACUUCCCCUUAGGCCCUCAAACAUUGCUACCAGUUGUCAUGAAGCUUGCCAAUAAUUCUUAGGAAGGGGAAAUCUCAGAACCCCAUUUCCUGAUCGGCUCCUUUUAUGCUUUCCUUGAACAUGUCUCAGUUCUGAAGUUGUGCUGCCUGAAAAGAUUGACUUUGGAUUCUGUGGCAAGCCAAUGCAAAAUUACCCUGGGUGAUGCUGGAAGCUUUUGCAUGGGAAUAUCCUUUUUAUGCUGGCAGUUUGUUACUCAAGUGACAGACAAAUGCCUGGCAAGAAAAAGCCUUGAUUUCACUGUUCCUGCUAUUGCAUUUGUAUUGCACACUAUCAUUAAUUAUUUGCCAUCUUGUAAGAAGCCCUCGGGAGCCUCAUUCUCCACUGCCUCACACCUCAUGUAAUCAUUGACAUCAGUGCAAAGUGAGUGCAAAACACUCUCACACAUCUGCACACAGAGUGGUCCAACUCCAGUGGCAUUCCAGCAGACAGGACAGUGGAGGCUGAGUCUGGAAAGCAUCAGAGGGUGCAUAUGCCCACCACUCUUCUUUGCACAAGACAAGCAGCACUGGUUCACCUUUAGCUUGAUGCCACUGGCCAAGCAAGAGGACAGACAGACAGACUCCUGACUGCCUCGCAGCAGUGCCCUAGAUCUUCUUGAGCCUCACCACCAGCUGCACGAGGUGCUGCAGACCCUUUGCCAUGUGAGUCUGUCACCGACAGUGGCAUGUGGGACAUGCGCCCUGCUGAUGGUGCUUUGUGGGGUGACAGGGGUUCCUUUCUGCUGCAGCCCUGAGGAGCUGCUGGGGGGUGCCAGACCUCCCUCCAUGGCCAGGGUUCCUCCCAGCAGAGCAGGACAGCCCUCAUGAGCUGGAUUUCUAAACGCAGGGGGGCAUUGGUAGCUGGGCUGUGGAUGGGACACGCCAGGCCCUGGGGCACCUGGAGGAGGAGAUGGCUGGGGUGAUGUGGAAGGAGACCAUGAUGUGUGGCCAAUGUCAUCCAGAAAUAAAAAGGGAGUGGUAGCAGGACA
Molecule: long non-coding RNA, 1686 nt
Filed under: Zonotrichia albicollis (white-throated sparrow)
Lineage: Eukaryota; Metazoa; Chordata; Aves; Passeriformes; Passerellidae
Description: lncRNA (ENSZALG00000003415.1)
Source: RNAcentral